GGAGAAGUACCCAAGAGGUUAUAAGGGGAUGCACUCGAAAUGCGUUAGGGGCUUUUAGAGCUCGCGUGGGUUCGAAUCCCACCUUCUCCGCCA
This 93-nucleotide transfer RNA is filed under the name Ornithinibacillus bavariensis. RNAcentral describes it as "tRNA-Ser". It matches the Rfam family "tRNA". Rfam says of the family: Transfer RNA (tRNA) molecules are approximately 80 nucleotides in length. Their secondary structure includes four short double-helical elements and three loops (D, anti-codon, and T loops). Lineage: Bacteria; Bacillati; Bacillota; Bacilli; Caryophanales; Bacillaceae. The record is from RNAcentral.